UAGUGGGUUCAUACCCCAAAAAUGAAUUUUCCUUUAUU
RNAcentral lists this transfer RNA (38 nucleotides) under Haemaphysalis flava. RNAcentral's name for it is "partial tRNA-Met". The record is from RNAcentral. Lineage: Eukaryota; Metazoa; Arthropoda; Arachnida; Ixodida; Ixodidae.